GCCUGUGUGGUGUAGUGGUUUGAGCGUUAGACUAGGACACUGGGAGACCAAGGUUCGAAUCCUGGCUCUGCCA
Molecule: non-coding RNA, 73 nt
Organism: Phrynosoma platyrhinos (Desert horned lizard)
Lineage: Eukaryota; Metazoa; Chordata; Lepidosauria; Squamata; Phrynosomatidae
Source: the annotation of a GenBank genome assembly